Impatiens glandulifera is the source of this 840-nucleotide long non-coding RNA. RefSeq lists it as uncharacterized. The transcript has 4 exons. The record is from RefSeq and is a predicted model, not a curated record. NCBI's taxonomy places the organism in Eukaryota, Viridiplantae, Streptophyta, Magnoliopsida, Ericales, Balsaminaceae.
UUCUUUACACAUGUUUUUUUUCCCACAGCAAUACUUCGAAAAUAGGAUCAAAUUUCUUGCAGCUCAGAAGAGUGCUGAGAAGAACCCAUAUCCUCACAAAUUCCAGGUUUCAUUGACCAUCCUGGAGUACAUAGAGAAAUACGGAGGCUUAAACAAUGGGCAACAUCUUAAAGACGUUGAAGUGUCUUUAGCUGGGAGAAUUAUGAACAAGCGAUCAUCUUCCGCAAAGUUGUUCUUUAAUGACCUACACAGUGCAGGGGGUAUGAUGCAAGAACAUCAGACUUGGAUGAAGCUGCAUUCUCGAAACUUCAUUCGGCUAUAAAGCGUGGAGAUAUUGUUGGUGUUGUUGGGCACCCAGGUUGAGAUACCUAUGAUGAACAUGGUUGCUAGAGGAGCAGCUGCACGUCCAUUUGUGACCCACCACAAUGAUCUGAAUAUGAGGCUUUUCAUGCGUAUCGCGCCUGAACUUUACCUUAAGGGACUAGAUCAUGUGUAUACUAUAUAGGAAAACAGUUCAGAAAUGAAGGCUUUGACUUGACCCAUAACCCAGAGUUUACCACAUGUGAGUUUAUAUGGCUUAUGCUGAUUAUAAUGACUUGAUGGAUCGAGCUAACCGAGCAAAUGCUGAGUGGUAAGAGCAAAUGCUGAUUGGUAAGUCAAACUCUCUUGAUGCCUUCUCUUGUAUUAUAUGUAUUCUAUAUAUAUAUGCUUUUUAGAUUUUUGGGGUUAAUGAAUUUAAAUUUUGAUAGGAAUGGUGAAGGAGCUUACUGGUGGUUACAAACUAAAGUAUCACUCAAAUGGGCUAGAAAAUGAUCCAAUUAAAAUUGAUUUUACACCUCC